GGCGCUCCUAAAACCCUAAAUGUGUCUCAAACAUUGGUUCCCUAAGGCUUGAUUUAUUUAUUUAUUUUUUAUCUUGUAGAUGGUGGAGACUUGUGUCAGCAGAGGUUUUGUGAAUGUGACCAGGCUGCCAUCGAGUGCAUGACUGAGAGCUCAUACAACUCCUCACUGAGAGGCUUCGCUGAGUCAUCGUGCUCGGACUUCAAUCAAACAGGUUUGUUUGGUGGCCCUGAGAAGCUCGAUGAAUCCCUCCAAGACUCAGACGUCUUCAAAGCACUAAACGACUCUGCAAGCUUCCAGUCAUCCAACGUUUCCCUCCUGUCAGCAGAGUUGGACCCUCUAAUGACCGGCUGGGUGGAUAACAGCAGUGACACUGAGGGGCUGAAUGGAGACCUUGUAACCCAAGCUGUGAACUCUCCCUCCCUGCUGAUCCCUGCUGGUAGGAUCUAUAAUUGGCACUCGAUUCGUGGGUUUUGCGGCUGAGUGGAACAUAUUAACCAUUUAAGGACAGAGCAAUCCAAUGGAACCAAAAACUGUCUCUAGAUAUUCUCUUCUUGUGUUAUUAGUCAUGGAAAAAUGUUUGGGUGUGAGACUAUGUUUAUGGGGUU
RNAcentral lists this long non-coding RNA (605 nucleotides) under Gouania willdenowi (blunt-snouted clingfish). Its description in RNAcentral is "lncRNA (ENSGWIG00000020235.1)". Lineage: Eukaryota; Metazoa; Chordata; Actinopteri; Blenniiformes; Gobiesocidae. The record is from RNAcentral.